Molecule: ribosomal RNA, 54 nt
Filed under: Sticta dendroides
Lineage: Eukaryota; Fungi; Ascomycota; Lecanoromycetes; Peltigerales; Lobariaceae
Description: partial 18S ribosomal RNA
Rfam family: Eukaryotic small subunit ribosomal RNA
Source: RNAcentral
UGUAAAGAAAGUCGUAACAAGGUUUCCGUAGGUGAACCUGCGGAAGGAUCAUUA